Molecule: long non-coding RNA, 853 nt
Organism: Carassius carassius (crucian carp)
Lineage: Eukaryota; Metazoa; Chordata; Actinopteri; Cypriniformes; Cyprinidae
Exons: 3
Source: RefSeq, a predicted model, not a curated record
GAGAGAGAGCCGGUCACACAGUGGAGUCAGCUGUCUUAACUGUCCGUGUCUUGUGUACUGCAAACACAUACAAGCUUCAUCACUGUCUCUGUCACACGACUCUGUUCCCCUUUCAGGCUUGAACUGAUGGUAAAACUAAGGACAUAAUUAACUGUUUACAUUUAUUUUGAAAGAUGAAGCUCACGAUUAUGGAAAGGGGUGUUACAUUUCCAACGAGUGCUGAUCGACAGAGUAAGUAUCUCUCAUAUAUAUAUUAAUUUGCUACUUUAAAGCAGUUAUACAUUCUUGCAUUAACCCAGUCCAAUGCAUUUAUUGUACUUACUAGCUCUUCAUGACCUCUGAUCUCUCAGAACUUUGUUAUUCAGUGCAACAUUUCGGAAGAAAAUUUAAAAGCUGGCGCGAGAUAUUUUGGUUUGCCCCCAUUCGUGUUGUGCAGGGAGAUAUAGGAGAGGCUAAUGAAGAUGUCAUUCAGAUAGUGGAGGUGCUGCAUUCUGGGCAGGAAAAGUGGGGUUGGCUGACACGCAGGCUGGUUGAGUUCACCUCAGCUGGUUCUGUGCUCAUCUUUUUCACUAAAAAGACGAACUGUGAGGAACUGGCUACAAAUCUCAAUCAGGAAGGUUAUAGCCUAGGGCUGCUGCAUAGAGACAUGGAUCAGAGUGAGAGGAACAAAGUCAUUGCUGACUUUGAAGAAGAAUCUGCCCGUAUUAGUAGCUACUGAUGUUGCUGCUCAAGGGUUGGAUAUCCCAUCUAUCCGUACAGUUGUGAACUAUGAUGUAGCACGAGACAUUGACACACAUACACAUCGAAUUGGUAGAACAGGUCACGCAGGAGAGAAGGGUUUAGCUUACACUCU